RNAcentral lists this ribosomal RNA (1330 nucleotides) under uncultured bacterium. Its description in RNAcentral is "bacterial SSU rRNA". It matches the Rfam family "Bacterial small subunit ribosomal RNA", at positions 60 to 1427 of the family's 1533-position model. The record is from RNAcentral.
AGUCGAACGGCAGUAGCAAUACUGUAGUGGCGAACGGGUGAGUAACACGUUGGUGACCUGCCCAAAAGAUGGGAAUAUCACCUGGAAACGGGUGGCAAAACCGAAUAAGCCCGAGGGAGUUAGAGAGCCUUGAGUAAAAGAGUGAUCUACUUUGGGAGGGGCCUGCGGCCCAUCAGUUAGUUGGUGAGGGUAACGGCCCACCAAGACGAAGACGGGUAGGGGACCUGAGAGGGUGGUCCCCCACAAUGGAACUGAAACACGGUCCAUACACCUACGGGUGGCAGCAGUAGGGAAUAUUGCUUAAUGGGCGAAAGCCUGAAGCAGCAACGCCGCGUGGACGAAGGAGGCCUUCGGGUCGUAAAGUCCUUUUAUGUGGGAAAAGGAAGGAUGGUACCACAUGAAUAAGUCUCGGCUAACUACGUGCCAGCAGCCGCGGUAAAACGUAGGAGACGAGCGUUAUCCGGAUUUACUGGGCGUAAAGAGCGUGUAGGAGGCAUAUCAAGUUGGAUGUAAAAUCUCCCGGCUUAACUGGGAGGCGUCGUUCAAAACUGAUGAGCUAGAGUACUGUAGAGGUAAUCGGAACUCCGGGAGUAGCGGUGAAAUGCGUAGAUAUCCGGAAGAACACCAGAGGCGAAAGCGGAUUACUGGACAGAAACUGACACUGAGACGCGAAAGCCAGGGUAGCAAACGGGAUUAGAGACCCCGGUAGUCCUGGCCGUAAACGAUGUAGACUCGUCGUUUGGGAGGUAAAACUUCUGAGUGACUAAGCAAACGCAAUAAGUCUACCGCCUGGGGAGUACGGUCGCAAGAUUAAAACUCAAAGGAAUUGACGGGGGCCCGCACAAGCAGCGGAGCGUGUGGUUUAAUUCGAUGAUACGCGAAGAACCUUACCAGGGUUUGACAUACAAGUGGUAGUGAAGGGAAACCGGAACGACCCUCGGGGAGCUUGAACAGGUGCUGCAUGGCUGUCGUCAGCUCGUGUCGUGAGAUGUUCGGUUAAGUCCGCUAACGAGCGCAACCCAUGUCGUGUGUUACAAGUAUCACGCGAGACCGCCGGUAGAAAGCCGGAGGAAGGUGUGGAUGACGUCAAGUCAGCAUGGCCUUUAUAUCCUGGGCUACACACACGCUACAAUGGCCGGUACAAUGGGAAGCGAAGGAGCGAUCCGGAGCGAAUCCUCCAAAACCGGCCCCAGUUCAGAUUGCAGGCUGCAACUCGCCUGCAUGAAGAUGGAGUUGCUAGUAAACGCAGGUCAGCGAUACUGCGUUGAAUACGUUCCCGGGCCUUGUACACACCGCCCGUCACGUCAUGGGAGUUGGCAACACCUGAAGC